Molecule: ribosomal RNA, 45 nt
Filed under: Peltigera islandica
Lineage: Eukaryota; Fungi; Ascomycota; Lecanoromycetes; Peltigerales; Peltigeraceae
Description: partial 18S ribosomal RNA
Source: RNAcentral
CCUGCGGAAGGAUCAUUAAUGAGGGCGUGUGGGCUUAAUAUCCCC